This 1627-nucleotide long non-coding RNA is filed under the name Malus domestica (apple). Its description in RNAcentral is "long non-coding RNA (MDOM_LNC015087)". The record is from RNAcentral. Lineage: Eukaryota; Viridiplantae; Streptophyta; Magnoliopsida; Rosales; Rosaceae.
UUCCCAACACAUGGCCCAUGGCCUGCAGCCAUUCAAUUUUCUACAGGGUCAUGCCUCACACAACUAGCCCACAUAUGAUGUGGGAUGUGCCCUUUAUUUGUUUUUUCUCGACCCGAUGCCAUUUUUUUGGUACCCCGUGCUUCUUAACCAUACCCAAAUAUUUUUGGGAUUUUUUUGGUUAACUUUAAAUGAGCUAAAAUUCACUUGUCACUUGGCCUGCCGCCAAUUGAAGCUAAUAUGACCCGCAUGUCAUUAUUUCGCUUCCACCCCGAAUGGUCCUAAUCUAUUGAAUUAAUUAAAAGUGACAUGCAGUCCAUUAAUCUAAUAAUUAAUCCUAAAUUAUUGACCUGAAGAUCACUUUUGGACAUUAAUGAUUCAAUAAUUUAUUUUCAUACUUUGAACCGUUGACAUGCUUUCGUAGUCUAGAAGCACUCACACAUGAGUUCCCGAAGAAACUCAAAUCCACUACAUGAUAGGAGCAUAUUUAUGCGACUGAGUUAGCUUGUUCUCAUACAUUUAUGUUGUUAUUUCUUAGUUAAUUGUGUAUUUUAAGCUAUUUUCGUGUGUUUGUAGGUCCAUAGGCCUUAUAAGGCAAUAAGAUGCAUUUUGGUGCAUUUUGGAGCAGUUUUGGGCUUGGAAUGAACAGCACAUGCAUGGAGCAAGGUGGAUGGACGAAAUUGAAGACUAAAGAGGCUAGGAAUGUGUUAAAGAGAAAGAAGAAUUAAUGUAAAAAGGACAAAGAGCUCAGCCAUAAAUGGGUGUCACUCCACCAUUUCUUGUUCCCUCCAUCAUUUCAGAUUUCAUGCAUCAUUACAUUGAAUCAUUGCACUCAAUUACUACACCAUUCCUUGUUCCCUCCAUCAUUUCAGAUUUCAUGCAUCAUUACAUUGAAUCAUAGCACUCAAUUGCUACACCAUUCCUUGUUCAUCAUUUCAGAUUUCAUGCAUCAUUACAUUGAAUCAUAGCACUCAAUUGCUACACCAUUCCUUGUUCCCUCCAUCAUUUCAGAUUUCAUGCAUCAUUACAUUGAAUCAUAGCACUCAAUUGCUACACCAUUCCUUGUUCCCUCCAUCAUUUCAGAUUUCAUGCAUCAUAUUGAAUCAUUGCACUCAAUUGCUACACCAUUCCUUGUUCCCUCCAUCAUUUUAGAUUUCAUGCAUCAUUGCACUCAAUUGCUACACCACUCCAUGUUCCCCCCCCAUUGUCAUGCACUUCCUCUAUAAAAGGAAGUGUGUGUAAAAUUGGGGGGAUACUUGGUUAGAUCAUUCACUCCCAUUUCAACACAACCUUCAUCCAAACACAUCCAUUCAUCUUCACAUCCAUUCCUCCAUACAAACAAAUCUUCAAACACUCACCAACAUCUUGUGCCGUAGCAAAGGAAGGGAAGGAAAGUGCUUGGACGUGCUUGCUGUCCAACUUGGAUCGUUUGAGCGUUUAGGUGUUUUCUUUCUUUUGUUUCUAAUGUUUAAAUUAAUUUCCUUUCUUUUUGUUGUAAAUAUGAGUGGCUAAACCCCUCUUGGCUAGGGGUGAUUUCAAAGCCAUGAUUAUGUGUGCAAUAUAAUUUGAUAAAUUUCAGUUAUGAACUCUUGAAUCAUGAAUGCAAUUGGCUUAACUAUUUGAUUGAUAA